UGCGGGAUAGAGCAGUCGGUAGCUCGCUUGGCUCAUAACCAAGAGGUCGCUGGUUCAAAUCCAGCUCCCGCAACCA
RNAcentral lists this transfer RNA (76 nucleotides) under Rhizobium leguminosarum bv. viciae. RNAcentral's name for it is "tRNA-Met". It matches the Rfam family "tRNA". Rfam says of the family: Transfer RNA (tRNA) molecules are approximately 80 nucleotides in length. Lineage: Bacteria; Pseudomonadati; Pseudomonadota; Alphaproteobacteria; Hyphomicrobiales; Rhizobiaceae. The record is from RNAcentral.